AGACCUGAGCCACAGCGACGACCUGAGUCAUGUUAGCCAGCUGCUGCUCCACAGACGUCUUCCACUGCUGCAUAGACUGGAGCUACAUGGAGAGCACAGCGCGGCAUCUGGAGGACUGUGCUUCUCCACGUCCAGAUGAGUUGGACGCGGAGGACUUGGACAGUUUGCGUCUCUCUCUGUCUCUUCUAACAGCUGCAUUUGGUGAAACCUAAAAGAGCAGCACAAACACACAAGGUCAGCCAAAUCAAUAUCUUCCUUUGUUUGUUAAAAACCCUCUCUGUUUCAGUUUACCUCUGCUUACUGAGGAUCUUCUCCAGCUUGGCAUCUUCUGCUGUCUCCAAGGCUGGCGAAGAGGUCAGAGGGCAAACAGUGGCGAGGUACUGAACGAGCUGCACGUGCUGACCCGGUCGAUACGAACGUCCUUUCCCUUGACUGUACAGCCACUCCGCUUUAAGGCUGUGAUUGUAACAGAGACAAGAGUACAUGAUUCAAACACAAUUCCUCUGAGAAUUCAAACUAAUAGUGACUGACAUCAUUUAAAUAUACACACCCUUCUUUUUGCGACACUACGUAGCCGUCCAGGACCUUCAGGUUCAGGCACCAACUCAUGAUAUAAGGCCGGUAGUCAAAACCUGGCAGUGACGGGGUGGCCAUAACACAGGGGUUGCUCAUUAUAGAAAGCUGCUCCAGUUCAUGGAGAGGUGCCAGGUAUGACGCCUAUGGAGGAAUUAAAAAGAAACAGGAAUCCUUUAACAAAAAAUUAAUUAGAGAAUCCCCAUUAGUAUAUUAAUACAAGAAAAAGAUAAUUACUUCAUUGAGAUCUCUUAUCUCGUUUUCUGCCAGGGAGAGAAUGGAUAAAUGGACGGGUAGGUGAGCGGGAACAGUGCGAAGUGUUGUAAUGCUGUUUCCAUGGAGUAAGAGAGUCUGAAAAUGUUAAAAAAUAGUAAUAAUAAUAAAGGAAACUGACAUGAUAAAGUUCCUUUAUAAAACAGAUGCAUCAGAGGCAGCUGCACCCACCUUCAAUGCUACCAGUUUUGUUAUGUCACCGAUGGCUGUUAUGUUAUUGUCAGAUAGAUCGAGAUGUUGAAGGGAAACACAGCUGCUGAGCUGCUCGAUGACCUGUGCAAUAAAAAUCGAAUUUACGUAUGGUUGUAUCAGGGUAAUAGAAAUCUGAAAAAACACCAGAAACAUUUAAAAGAGAUGGACAUUAAACGCAAUAAAACACUUUCAGCAGAGACAUUUUUAUAGAUGGACAGCGAGUAUCUUAAAAAUCUGUGGAUGAAACUCAACAAUCUAUUUAUUCUUUGACCCCGCUUACUGCAGCUUUAACGCAUGUGCUACAACUAAUCUGAACAUUGGGAUUUUUGUAAGUCAUUCAUUUUCUGUUUGUAAAGAGAGAUUUGUUUUUCUUGAUCUCACCUUAAUAUUGUUUCCAGACAGGUUGAGCCAUUUCAGGUGAGGGAGAUCUCUUAGCCCCUCGAUGUAGCCAAUACUGUUAUUGGGAAGAUUGAGGACUCUCAGCUCCAUCAGCCGAGACACACCCAUCAUCCUCACCAGACGGUUAUUAGCUACUGACAGCUGAAGACAGAAAGAGCAGGAGUUAAAACAGAACUAAAUGGAGUGAAAACAGCACACAUUUUACUGUCAGUACCAACCUGUUGAAGGCCUGGGCUCCUUUCCAGAUGGUCCAGCUUCAUAAUAUGGUUACGGUCCAGGAUGAGAGUGUGAGUGUCUUCAGAGCAGGUGAAAGUGGGAUCCAGCUUUUGCAAACCCUGGGCAGAAAGAUCCACCACGGGUCCUUGUGAGAGAAAAAACAAGAGAUGAUUAAAGUGUAGGUUGCUUAAUCAUCAUGACAAAUCAACACACAAAAUCUUAAAGCUGAAACAAAUUUUACACAAAUGUCAAUUUGACUAAAAACACAAAUAAGCGCCCCCACAAAAAGAAGUGAAUUCCACUGCACAAAAAGCCCAUUCUUUCAACAGUUUGAAGGGAUAAAUACCUCUCGCCCCCACGCACCCCUGCACUGCUGAUGUAUACACACAAACACUCCCUCUCAGUCAGAUAAAAAAUUUUUUGUUCACGAAAACAAAACAGAGGAUCACCAUGGCUCAUCCCUGGGUGUCUUUUACAGAUUUUGGGUAUGUAGCUAAAGUCAGGGUGGGUCAGAAAUAUCGAAGGAUAAAGGCAGAAAGCUACGUCAAGAGAUACCUCAUUCACGUUCAAUACUUAGACUUUAUGCACCUUCUUAGACAAAUCCUGCACUUUUCAGACGUUUUGUAUUCUUCAGUAAGAUGUAUAUUGUAAUGUAUCACAUAUGCUUGUGUUGCAAUAUCGUGAUUAACACAGAAUUGUUGUAUGGUGAUACUAUUGGUAUCGUGGACCAUGUAUUGCGUCCUGAUCCUAACCUCAAGUGUGCAAAAGAAAGCGAAAAAUAUGCAGUGACGUAACAUUACAGACUCCAACUGCCGUUAAACACUGAAGAAAUUGAUGCUUGAUUCUAAAAAGGGUCACUGAUUUUGAUUGAAUCUGUCAUUUCAAGUCCUACACCUUUACAACAAGCAUGCUUCAAAAUUCAGGGGGUGUGGCACAGAAGGAAUAGCUCCUUCGCUGUAGUUAGAGUUAGUCCUGGGUAAAAUUGCCUAAAGGCAAUGUCAAAAUUAAUUAUAAAAAUAGUAAUAAUAAAGAAAGAAUUUACAGUGUUUCAGUCUGAUUGUAAAGGUUGGAAGUUAGCACUGUGAUUCAGCAAUGACAUCUGAGGGCAUGAAACUUGAGUAUUAAGGACAGGACAAAAAUCUAUAACAGUGUAACUACUGUGAGUGUGUGUGUGUCUGUGUGUGAGGGAGAGAGAGAGGAAGAAAUCUUGGGGGAAGCAGUAAUUUUGGUACGAGAACUAUGGAAGACCUGAUAGAUUAACUCAUAGAUUCAGUUAUGAGGAGAUUAACAAAUGCAUGUAUUGCAAAUAGAAAACGUAUACGAAGGGGUUGUUUCUUCUACUUCUUGCUGAUCGUAAAAACACCACAAAGUUGUAAAAGUUGGUGGUGACCUUGUUAUUCUAAAUUCUUGAAUUAAAAAUUGCUACGAGAUGA
Molecule: long non-coding RNA, 3086 nt
Organism: Solea senegalensis (Senegalese sole)
Lineage: Eukaryota; Metazoa; Chordata; Actinopteri; Pleuronectiformes; Soleidae
Exons: 2
Source: RefSeq, a predicted model, not a curated record